RNAcentral lists this ribosomal RNA (253 nucleotides) under uncultured bacterium. Its description in RNAcentral is "partial 16S ribosomal RNA". It matches the Rfam family "Bacterial small subunit ribosomal RNA", at positions 524 to 776 of the family's 1533-position model. The record is from RNAcentral.
UACGAAGGGUGCAAGCGUUACUCGGAAUUACUGGGCGUAAAGCGUGCGUAGGCGGUUUGUUAAGUCCGCUGUGAAAGCCCUGGGCUCAACCUGGGAAUUGCAGUGGAUACUGGCAAGCUAGAGUGCGGUAGAGGAUGGUGGAAUUCCCGGUGUAGCGGUGAAAUGCGUAGAGAUCGGGAGGAACACCAGUGGCGAAGGCGGCUUCCUGGCCUGUUCUUGACGCUGAGGCGCGAAAGCUAGGGGAGCAAACGGG